AAGCUCGUAGUUGAAUUUCGGGAUUGACGUGACGGUCGUGCCUUACGGGGUAUGAACUGUCGCCGUUGAUUUCUCACCUUCUGGAGAAGCUCGAUGUCCUUAAUUGGGUGUCUUGCGGAACCAGGACCUUUACCUUGAAAAAAUUAGAGUGUUUAAAGCAGGCAUUAUUGCUCGAAUACAUUAGCAUGGAAUAAUAGAAUAGGACGGCAUGGUUCUAUUUGUUGGUUUCUAGGAUCACCGUAAUGAUUAAUAGGGAUAGUUGGG
This 264-nucleotide ribosomal RNA is filed under the name uncultured Glomus. Its description in RNAcentral is "partial 18S ribosomal RNA". It matches the Rfam family "Eukaryotic small subunit ribosomal RNA", at positions 624 to 886 of the family's 1831-position model. Lineage: Eukaryota; Fungi; Glomeromycota; Glomeromycetes; Glomerales; Glomeraceae. The record is from RNAcentral.